RNAcentral lists this ribosomal RNA (253 nucleotides) under uncultured bacterium. RNAcentral describes it as "partial 16S ribosomal RNA". It matches the Rfam family "Bacterial small subunit ribosomal RNA", at positions 524 to 776 of the family's 1533-position model. The record is from RNAcentral.
UACAGAGGUCUCAAGCGUUGUUCGGAUUCAUUGGGCGUAAAGGGCGUGUAGGCGGGAAUGUAAGUCGGGCGUGAAAUCCCUAGGCUCAACCUAGGAACUGCACUCGAAACUGCGUUUCUUGAGUAUCGGAGAGGAAAGCGGAAUACCUGGUGUAGAGGUGAAAUUCGUAGAUAUCAGGUGGAACACCAGUGGCGAAGGCGGCUUUCUGGACGAUAACUGACGCUGAGACGCGAAAGCGUGGGGAGCAAACAGG